This 274-nucleotide ribosomal RNA is filed under the name uncultured bacterium. RNAcentral describes it as "partial 16S ribosomal RNA". It matches the Rfam family "Bacterial small subunit ribosomal RNA", at positions 524 to 796 of the family's 1533-position model. The record is from RNAcentral.
UACGUAGGGUGCGAGCGUUAUCCGGAAUCAUUGGGCGUAAAGAGCUCGUAGGCGGUUCAGCAAGUCGGCUGUGAAAGUCCGAGGCUCAACCUCGGAAUUGCAGUCGAUACUGCUGUGACUCGAGUCCGGUAGAGGAGAACGGAAUUCUCGGUGUAGCGGUGAAAUGCGCAGAUAUCGAGAGGAACACCAGUAGCGAAGGCGGUUCUCUGGGCCGGCACUGACGCUGAGGAGCGAAAGCGUGGGGAGCAAACAGGAUUAGAAACCCCCGUAGUCC